CCUACGGGGUGCAGCAGUGGGGAAUAUUGGACAAUGGGCGAAAGCCUGAUCCAGCCAUGCCGCGUGUGUGAAGAAGGCCUUCGGGUUGUAAAGCACUUUCAGUGGGGAAGAAAGCCUUGGGGCUAAUACCCUCGAGGAAGGACAUCACCCACAGAAGAAGCACCGGCUAACUCCGUGCCAGCAGCCGCGGUAAUACGGAGGGUGCGAGCGUUAAUCGGAAUUACUGGGCGUAAAGCGCGCGUAGGCGGUCUGAUAAGCCGGUUGUGAAAGCCCCGGGCUCAACCUGGGAACGGCAUCCGGAACUGUCAGGCUAGAGUGCAGGAGAGGAAGGUAGAAUUCCCGGUGUAACGGUGAAAUGCGUAGAGAUCGGGAGGAAUACCAGUGGCGAAGGCGGCCUUCUGGACUGACACUGACGCUGAGGUGCGAAAGCGUGGGUAGCAAACAGGAUUAGAUACCCGUGUAGUC
RNAcentral lists this ribosomal RNA (465 nucleotides) under Vreelandella stevensii. Its description in RNAcentral is "partial 16S ribosomal RNA". It matches the Rfam family "Bacterial small subunit ribosomal RNA", at positions 338 to 795 of the family's 1533-position model. The record is from RNAcentral. Lineage: Bacteria; Pseudomonadati; Pseudomonadota; Gammaproteobacteria; Oceanospirillales; Halomonadaceae.